Molecule: ribosomal RNA, 1520 nt
Filed under: metagenome
Description: bacterial SSU rRNA
Rfam family: Bacterial small subunit ribosomal RNA
Source: RNAcentral
AGAGUUUGAUCAUGGCUCAGAUUGAACGCUGGCGGCAGGCCUAACACAUGCAAGUCGAACGGUAACAGGAAACAGCUUGCUGUUUCGCUGACGAGUGGCGGACGGGUGAGUAAUGUCUGGGAAACUGCCUGAUGGAGGGGGAUAACUACUGGAAACGGUAGCUAAUACCGCAUAACGUCGCAAGACCAAAGAGGGGGACCCUCGGGCCUCUUGCCAUCGGAUGUGCCCAGAUGGGAUUAGCUUGUUGGUGGGGUAACGGCUCACCAAGGCGACGAUCCCUAGCUGGUCUGAGAGGAUGACCAGCCACACUGAACUGAGACACGGUCCAGACUCCUACGGGAGGCAGCAGUGGGGAAUAUUGCACAAUGGGCGCAAGCCUGAUGCAGCCAUGCCGCGUGUAUGAAGAAGGCCUUCGGGUUGUAAAGUACUUUCAGCGGGGAGGAAGGGAGUAAAGUUAAUACCUUUGCUCAUUGACGUUACCCGCAGAAGAAGCACCGGCUAACUCCGUGCCAGCAGCCGCGGUAAUACGGAGGGUGCAAGCGUUAAUCGGAAUUACUGGGCGUAAAGCGCACGCAGGCGGUUUGUUAAGUCAGAUGUGAAAUCCCCGGGCUCAACCUGGGAACUGCAUCUGAUACUGGCAAGCUUGAGUCUCGUAGAGGGGGGUAGAAUUCCAGGUGUAGCGGUGAAAUGCGUAGAGAUCUGGAGGAAUACCGGUGGCGAAGGCGGCCCCCUGGACGAAGACUGACGCUCAGGUGCGAAAGCGUGGGGAGCAAACAGGAUUAGAUACCCUGGUAGUCCACGCCGUAAACGAUGUCGACUUGGAGGUUGUGCCCUUGAGGCGUGGCUUCCGGAGCUAACGCGUUAAGUCGACCGCCUGGGGAGUACGGCCGCAAGGUUAAAACUCAAAUGAAUUGACGGGGGCCCGCACAAGCGGUGGAGCAUGUGGUUUAAUUCGAUGCAACGCGAAGAACCUUACCUGGUCUUGGCAUCCACGGAAGUUUUCAGAGAUGAGAAUGUGCCUUCGGGAACCGUGAGACAGGUGCUGCAUGGCUGUCGUCAGCUCGUGUUGUGAAAUGUUGGGUUAAGUCCCGCAACGAGCGCAACCCUUAUCCUUUGUUGCCAGCGGUCCGGCCGGGAACUCAAAGGAGACUGCCAGUGAUAAACUGGAGGAAGGUGGGGAUGACGUCAAGUCAUCAUGGCCCUUACGACCAGGGCUACACACGUGCUACAAUGGCGCAUACAAAGAGAAGCGACCUCGCGAGAGCAAGCGGACCUCAUAAAGUGCGUCGUAGUCCGGAUUGGAGUCUGCAACUCGACUCCAUGAAGUCGGAAUCGCUAGUAAUCGUGGAUCAGAAUGCCACGGUGAAUACGUUCCCGGGCCUUGUACACACCGCCCGUCACACCAUGGGAGUGGGUUGCAAAAGAAGUAGGUAGCUUAACCUUCGGGAGGGCGCUUACCACUUUGUGAUUCAUGACUGGGGUGAAGUCGUAACAAGGUAACCGUAGGGAACCUGCGGUUG